UUAUGAUUGCUCAAUUUAGAUUUAAAAUUUUAAACUAGAAUUUAAAACUUGAAACUCUAAAUUUUAGAAACUCAAAAAGGGAAUAUUUUCAAUUUAUUGAACGGAUGAUUCCUUUCAUAAACUGUAUUUAGAAGCAUUCGUCCAGAUGAAUUGAAUAAUAAAUAAAUGGAGAGAUAAAAUGAAAUUUGAAUCAUGUUGAGAUUUCUGGAUUGUGCAUUUAAAGUUGAAUCUCAACUCUAAAGUGGAUUUGAAUUUGGAACUUGAAAAUAAAACAAAAAAAUCAGAAAACAGAAAAAAAAAUAAGCGAACCACUCCUCACUCUUGGGGCAUCUUUCCUGGGCUCGGCCCAGUUUGACCUCGUCGUCCCCGUUCGCCUGGCUUAGCUCCACGCCGCAGAGCACCGCACGUCAGACUCCACUACUGUCAUGUGGGCCCUAUGUACUAGAUUCAUCUCCUUCCUCCUCGGGCAUGAAACGAACUCGUGACCCAGCUGGACGCGGAAUCCUCAACCGAAUCUUUGCCAACCAAUCUCGUCCCAUCUGGUUAUCCAGCGAGUUCGUUGAGAUCCCUAGCUAACCGAGCGCCUAGCAACCAGAGCAAAUCGAAGGGAGAGAGGAGAGUAGCUGCCAUGGUUGAAUCCCGAGUUCAACGCAGGCGAGCCAUCAGCGAUUGACCAAGAGGAUCUGAGAGGUCACAUGGAGGAGUUCGGGGACUCACUAGGCACGUGUAGUGACCUAGGGAGACAGAAUUGCUCCUCUACCGUGGAGUCACCUUGCAAUGUGAGUGAAGCUGCAUACUCUACCGAUUCGGGAACGCGCUGACGCGGGCCUCAGCGGAAGGGGCGAGGAGGCGGAGGGGGUGCAGGAGGCGGAGUUCGUCGCCACCACGGUCAAAGAUGUUGCCAAGCUGGACGGCGAGGGUGGACCCGGCGGCCCAUGAGGUGGAGGCGGCAGAUGGGGAGUCGGGGCUACAGGGCAUGAGGCCGACGAGGCGGAGCACGGAGAAAGCCGAUCCACGACGCGAUGCUUCUAGGAGCAAUGGACAGCAGGCUGGUGGGUCCUUUUCCUCAUCCCGUUCGUUCGCUGUCUGGAACCAUCGAGGCUAUUCCAGGAUUUGAUACACGGAGGGAUUCUUGGCCGCUAAAAUCUGAUCGAACGGCUAAAAAUUUUAAAGGUGACGUGGACGAACGGUGUCGUACUUUUACGUCGCGCUUUGUAUAGUAGUAAAGUAAUGUUUAUACUGA
Long non-coding RNA from Zea mays, 1243 nucleotides. RefSeq lists it as uncharacterized. Lineage: Eukaryota; Viridiplantae; Streptophyta; Magnoliopsida; Poales; Poaceae. The transcript is spliced from 2 exons. The record is from RefSeq and is a predicted model, not a curated record.